AGCAGUCGCCGCGGGAAUACGUAGGUCCCGAGCGUUGUCCGGAUUUAUUGGGCGUAAAGCGAGCGCAGGCGGUUAGAUAAGUCUGAAGUUAAAGGCUGUGGCUUAACCAUAGUACGCUUUGGAAACUGUUUAACUUGAGUGCAGAAGGGGAGAGUGGAAUUCCAUGUGUAGCGGUGAAAUGCGUAGAUAUAUGGAGGAACACCGGUGGCGAAAGCGGCUCUCUGGUCUGUAACUGACGCUGAGGCUCGAAAGCGUGGGGAGCAAACAGGAUUAGAUACCCCUGUAGUCCCUGUCUCUUAUACC
This 303-nucleotide ribosomal RNA is filed under the name uncultured bacterium. RNAcentral's name for it is "partial 16S ribosomal RNA". It matches the Rfam family "Bacterial small subunit ribosomal RNA", at positions 507 to 808 of the family's 1533-position model. The record is from RNAcentral.